AUGUAACAUUAUUUUCCUCUGCAACUUUGAACAUCCGAACACAAUGAAGCUAACUUAAGUAGUUAAUGACUUGUAUGAUUACGUCUCUGUACAGAAACCUUUAACUAUAGAAGUAGCGGAAUCAUGCUAGUAUAUUUGAAGCUCUUGGUAAAUAAAGGAACAAUUGCGUGGGAACUAAUUUCCAAGAACUCUUUACUUUGUACCCAACAUCCUAACCUUUGCUGACUGUGCCCUCUGACAUUCUGGAACUGCAGAUGGAUGAAUUUUGUGAAUGCAAUGGUUUCAUGCUGAAAGUCAUGUAUAACCAAACAAUAUUUGAAUUGUUGCUGAGCAUGACCCAGCGCUAUUCAUCGCUCUUUUAGUUUAGAACUGGCCAAGUUUCAGUUGCCUUCUGUGGUAUUGACGUAUUUUGUGCACCUAACCAAAACCAUUUGGUAGUAUGUUUACAGUACUGGCUCUCAAACCUAGACUCAUACAAAUAAAAGGUGAGGAUGACCUUGCUCAAAACUACAUUACAACUCUUAUAGAAACAAAAAAUACAGCGCUUAAUAUUACCCAAAAGAAAAAAAACACACAGACCGGGGGGGGGUUCAUGAUCAAGAGCCAAACCCACACAACCAAUAAGUGGAAAAAAAUGAAAUAAUCAAUAAUAAUUACCAAUCUUUUGUGUUUAAAUAAAAAAAGCUGCUAGUCUUGAAUAGUACACGUUCUCCAACAGGUAGAGAGCCUACAAAUAUAAACACAAACUGAAAACAAGAGACAGCGCUUGGAUAACUGUAAAAACAAUAUGUUUAAUACAAAGACAAAGAAAUAUGCAAUACAUUAAAUAAAAGAAA
Molecule: long non-coding RNA, 836 nt
Organism: Spea bombifrons (plains spadefoot toad)
Lineage: Eukaryota; Metazoa; Chordata; Amphibia; Anura; Pelobatidae
Exons: 2
Source: RefSeq, a predicted model, not a curated record